CUGUUCCCUCCGGGUGGGUGGGUGUGGGGGGUAAUGUGCUUUCAAUCUGUGAGCGUUUCCGUGUGUGUUGUGAAGUGGAUUAUACUUACAGUGAGAACACGUGUGUGUGGAUUUAAGUGGGCGGUGGUAAUGUGUUUGUGAAUGUGCGGGUGGGGAGAUGAAACGUGCGCAUCGGUAAGUGGGCCUGUUUUCCACUUGUCCGGGAGAAAAAACACCGACAGUAAAUCCACAAAUGAAAUCCUCUCUUUUCUACCCAGUGACCCCGACUGGUAAUUAGGUGGACUCAAAAGGGGGGGCUUGGGUGGACACGUGUCACAAGUAUUUCCAUCAGAGCUUCGUCUCCAGCCUCCAAGUGGCUGCUGAAACACAACUGCCUGUGUUUUUUUUGUAUCCACUGCAGAGCGGCUCCUUUCGGCUCCUUUCGGCUCGCGGUCCGUUCCGAUCCCGACGGGGGUGAUUAGCGGGCCGGCCGGACAGCAGCUGGCUGCCGCUCGCUAGUCCGCCUCCCCCGAGCGCACACUUGUUUCCCCCUUGAGUGACAGCCGCUCUUCCGGUUCAAUAACCUUUUCCAGCGGACCAAUCUCCUGGAACGGGUGGAGCAGCUACUCCCCCCCCCACUCCCCUGUCACACCCACCCAGCCCGCCGGUGCGCCGGCACCGAAAAAGCAGGUCAGAGGAGGUGCGCGUAGAUGGGGAGGAACAAAAAAAGUUGGGAGAGGGGAAGGAAGGUAAUCCCCACUCGAUGCCGUCGCUCCGUCUCCCCCCGGCCCCACAAAGAAAAGCACGGAGACGAUCUGAACGGAUGAACCGGUGGAAAGAAAGGGGAUCAGAAAUCAGAGAAGGAGCUCGAGGGGGAGAUGUGUCGGGCUUUCUUCCCUUGUAUCAGCACCACGUCGGAGAAUCCCACCCAGAGCAGGAGAGGUGGAGGUUCUCAUGGACCGAGUAAUUGUUCUUACAAGGCGGACCUUCCGCCUCGGCCACCGGGUCAGAGCCAUGAUGACGCACAGGGGGGCAGCGCGAGACGCCAGGUACUCCCAGCAGAGGGCGCCAGGGUGGUGGCGGGCUGGCUUUGAAAAGGUAAUUUCCAUUAAGGAGCCAAAGGAGCCGCUCUUGCUGUUAGUGGUCCGGCAGGAGCAGAAGCUGAUGUGCGAGCACAUCUGCUUGUGUGUGCGAGCUCCUCUUUAUGCUGAGGGUAAGAGAUCUGUCUAGUUUCAUAACUGAUUGACAAUGAUGCUUCAAUCAAGUGUGUGUGUGUGUGUGUGUGUGUGUGCACGCGUGAGUGUGUAAGAGAGCAGCCCGGCGCACAUCCCGGUCUUCUGGAUGGCCGGCGUUGAUUUGAUGGAUCGGGGAGAAAACGGCGAGUGCCUUGGCUGAAUGGUGAUGUUCUGAUCGGAAAGGUGGUUAUCCUGGGAGACGCACGCGGUUCCCCCGAGAUUCCAACUUUUAAAAAUCAGCCAUAGACGAGGGAGGAUCUUCUCAUCCAGCUGAUGGUCUGACCUCUCUCCUACGGGCAGCAACGGAAGGACUAAACAUCAGAAACAUCUUUUCAACAUGGAAAUGCGGCGCUGAUUCGCAGAGGGAGACCUUUUUCCAAGAACGCUAGAAGCGAACCGUGGGUCAAGACUGAAUGAAGAGAGUCUCUCAAUGGACAAUCUGUUUCGGGAGAAACUGCUUGCAAAGGAUCAAUCACUGUAGAUUAACACAGCAUCACUUCAUUACAGCUAUCAAAGGCCGUUGCCUUCGCUAAUGGCAUUAGAGAUCGUCCUCUCACGCAGCCCAUUGUUAAUGUGGGUUUUUAUGAUGCUGAUGAAAAGAAAAGCACAGAAAGAGAAGUCUGUUAAGUUUGAGAAAGGCUUUGGUAAUGGACUAUUCCAAUAGUACGGUAAUAUCAGCCGUACGUCUCCCGGCUCCACCUGAGAGUUGACACCUACGUCCUGCCAAGUAUUUGUUUAUUGAGCGAGACUCCAGAUGAGUGUGAUUCCACGGCGAGCCAUGUAGUCACGAAUUAGCCCGACAGCGGUGGGCCCAGUGGGCAACGGCGGGGACACGCUUGCAGGUGGGCCAAUUGUCUCGCCGCGCUAUUAGGUUGGAUCAUCAUAAGUCAGGCGGCCUCAGACAGCCUCCCAGACUUCCCGGCCGUCGGCCUGCGGGCUGAGCAGCGAUAAUCCAGCACCGGCAUCGGGUUGCUCUGGCAGCAUGUGCGUGGCUAACGGCGUUAACCUCUGCUGAGCCGGGCCGCGAGGAAACGGAGCGGGGGAAGAGGCUGAACGAGACGCCCCUAGUGCCUUAUCUUGACAGCCAGGCGCCCGAUACUAAUACAAAUGGAGGAAAGAAGCACUUCAUCGCGUCAACGGACAGUGUUUGUUCCACAAUCUGUAACCUGAAAUUACAUUUUAACUCCAAACAGAAGCUACGAAUGGGGGUCAACUGGAGGGCAGCACCAGCAGCCAGAACAGCUGAAACGCUCGCUGCCAUCCACUUUUCAAAUCGUGUUGGGGGAAACUCGACUACAGGGACGAGCGACAAAAGCAUUAUCCCUGGUUAGGGGUUUAGACGGUGGGGUGGUACCUGCCUUUUGGGGCCGAAGCGCAGGAGCACUGAGUUAAAACAGCACUGCAUGUGAGGCUGGUUGGAGUUGUAAAGGGCCAAACAAAACCGCCGUCAAUCUGGCUCCCAAUUCACUAAAAAACUGACUGCGCUUUUUGACAUUUGACAUUUUGACAUUUGAGUUGCACAAAAACAGUUACAGAAGUUACUAAGACAUUUCUCACUUUUCGGCCGCACCGGUUAUUUUAAAUAACAAAGUCAAAAUCCGUCUCUAAUAACACAUUUCUGACUCAGUGGACAGCGCCGCGUCGAUGUGACCGUCAACGGGAGAGCUCCCACAUGAAGGCUGCCGCCACUCAAUGUGACUCACAAACAUGACGCAUCGGCCCGGUUUCUGGCGCAGCGUCACGCGUCCGCUCGCCUGAACACAAACAGUCGCGCAUAAUUCCUGGAGUGCAACAUUUGGGUCGAUAUGACAUUUGGUAGGUGUCUUUCUGGUCAGCACUUCCUGCCCAAUCACCAACACCCACAACGAUUAAGAUACCAGGAUGUAAUAUCGUCCUUGUGACUCUGCCUUUGCAACUAUCAGCCCCUGCAUUGUACCCUAAAUUACUCCAAUGGAUGGUUUCCGGGUGGCACUUCUCUGUGUGGCCGACGCACGGCGACGAACGUGGCAGCGAGGCAGGAGAGCUACGAGCCCGGAGUCUAGAGCGGCUGGCUCUUGCAGCCUUCGCACGGGAAAGGCGAGGCCGGUGGAGCUGAAGGACGACACAGAUGUAGGUCUCUGGCCAAGUGAGCCAUCUGUCACGGGGACCAGGCCAAGCUGUGCCGUCACUAUCACGCUGAGAAAAGUGGCAGGAGACCUGCGGCGAGCCGUCAUUACGGGCAGGUAGCUGCCCUCUGAAUGUGGCCCAUUCCCAACAGCAGCUUACCGUCCGCUGCCGUAGAGGACAUGAAGGUGCACGAGUGUCAAAAGGUGAAAAGUUCGUGCUGCUUGUUCUCAAUCCUUUAGAUAUUGUCUUGAUCUGAACCUUAAAAGAUAUUUGAAUUGGUAUAAGAAGCCAUUCAUGUGUCCCAGGUUUGAAUAAAAAACAGUUAUGAACACAAA
Long non-coding RNA from Gasterosteus aculeatus aculeatus (three-spined stickleback), 3655 nucleotides. RefSeq lists it as uncharacterized. Lineage: Eukaryota; Metazoa; Chordata; Actinopteri; Perciformes; Gasterosteidae. The record is from RefSeq and is a predicted model, not a curated record.